UGAGGAACAUGACUUUCGGCGGGGGAUAGCCGGCCCAACGGCCGGGUAAUACCGCGUACGACCUUUUGGGGACAUCCCCGAUUGGUGAAAGCAGCAAUGCGCCGAAAGAGUGCCUCGCGGCCUAUCAGCUAGUUGGUGGGGUAAUGGCUCACCAAGGCAACGACGGGUAGCUGGUCUGAGAGGAUGGCCAGCCACAGUUGGGACUGAGACACCGGCCCAGACCUCCGUACGGGAGCAGC
RNAcentral lists this ribosomal RNA (239 nucleotides) under uncultured bacterium. RNAcentral describes it as "partial 16S ribosomal RNA". It matches the Rfam family "Bacterial small subunit ribosomal RNA", at positions 118 to 352 of the family's 1533-position model. The record is from RNAcentral.